This 3296-nucleotide long non-coding RNA is filed under the name Oncorhynchus mykiss (rainbow trout). RNAcentral describes it as "lncRNA (ENSOMYG00000058765.1)". The record is from RNAcentral. Lineage: Eukaryota; Metazoa; Chordata; Actinopteri; Salmoniformes; Salmonidae.
AGGUCAAUUUGGGAUGGGGAUUAUUGCACUUAAUUCACAAAUUCCAUGCCUUGCUCAACUGAAAAGAGUAAAUAAUCAGUGAGAUCCAAUUGUGUUUUCUAUUCUUCAUUCCCUGUGUCCAUUACAUUUAAGUUGAUACCAGAUCCACUAAGUUGAAUGUGAACUCUACUUCUUCUCCCCUCCCAGCCAUCCCUGGACACACAAGGCUAACAUCCACCAUGACCCGGGCAGAGAGAGAGAGGGAGAAGAGGAAGGAGCUGCUGAAGGCUGAGGAGAGAAGGAAGAAGAUGGAGGAUUUCAAUAAGCAGUGGAGAGAGCGGUCCCUGCUUAAAAAACAGACUCAUCAACAACUGAAGGAGGAGAGGGAGAGGAUGAAGGAAAACUACCUGGAGCAGAUGAAUCUGGAGGCUGAUGCUCAAAUCAACACCCGGUGUCUAACCACCCAACACAGCCACGAUUACAACCACGGUCAGGAGUUGCCCGGGUGGGCCAAUGGCCAACAAGUAAGCCAAGAGCCCACUGGAUCUGCUGAUGGCCACCAGGAAAGGCCAAGGAGGCAACAGGCAUGGGCAGAGAACCAGGAGGGGAGUUCAGAGAACCAGCAGGAGGGGCCAGAGAACCAUCAGGGGGGGCCAGACAGCCAGCAGCUAGAAGCUCCAGAAGAGGCUGAAACAUCAGAGCGAAUAUCCAAGACAAAGAAAAAGCCAAGCAUCUGGAAGAAAAUUAGGAUGAGUCAACAAGUGAUGAGCCAGAUCAACCAAUCAACGUCACUGCAGCUGUUCUACCCACCACCCCCACUGCUCUUCCUCCACCACCAACCUCAUCCUCUUCUCCUGUUCAACUCAUUUGCCGCCACACUAGAAAGGACUGGACAUACAGUCGAAGUCGCAAGUUUACAUACACUUAGGUUGGAGUCAUUAAACGUUAUGAACUGAGAGAAAACAGGACCUACCUUUGUUGAUGAUCUUAUAGCCCUCCUCAGCCUCUCUCUGAUAUGUUCUCUCUGUCUUUUUGAGGUUCCUCUUCUCCCACUUCUUAGUCACCCAGGCCACAGCUCUCCUUCAGAUACUUUUAUAGGGUGGAACAAGGUCUAUGGUCUAAAAUAGAUGUGUAUAGUUGACUCCUCUGCAAUAUAACAUGUCCUUUGUCAUUUUUAUUAGGAUCCCCAUUAGGUAACGCCGUAACUCCAGCUGAUCUUCCUGGGGUCCAACACCAAUUAACAAGACAUUACAAACAUUCACAAAUCAAGACUUCAAACAUUCAACAAGUAGACAGUACAGACAAUUAAAACACCUGACAGGAAACACAUGUAACAUUCAGUUGAUGCUUUCUAUUUCCUGUCCAGUCAUAGGGUCUAUUGCAUUAGAUGUUAUUUUAUUUUCAUCUUGAAGGGGUGUUUACUUUUUGCCUGAGAAAUAUGGAUUGGUAAACAGUUCCAUUCAGCUAUGGCUCUUUAUAAAACUGUUGAUUUAAGGCGAUUUGUCCUUGGCUUGGGUUGUUUUAGCUGCCCUGAAUUUGCCUGUCUGGUUUGGUGGUUAUGUGUGUUGCUAGUAUAUACUAACUGGCCUAAAAAAAUACGUAAUGAAAAAUAUAUAUAACAUUUCUAAAAUAAUCAGAAGACUGGAUAGUAAUUUGUUUUCAACGUGAGGCCAUGAGAGAUUCUGAUGCAUUUGGAUAAUAUUCAUACGGUUGGAGCAAUGAAGAGCUAAUCUACCAGCCCUGAUCAGAGCAAUGAAGAGCUAAUCUACCAGCCCUGGUUAGAGCAAUGAAGAGCUAAUCUACCAGCCCUGGUUAGAGCAAUGAAGAGCUAAUCUACCAGCCCUGGUUAGAGCAAUGAAGAGCUAAUCUACAAGCCCUGGUUCCUGCAAUGAAGAGCUAAUCUACCAGCCCUGGUUAGAGCAAUGAAGGGCUAAUCUACCAGCCCUGGUUAGAGUAAUGAAUAGCUAAUCUACCAGCCCUGGUUAGAGCAAUGAAGAGCUAAUCUACAAGCCCUGGUUAGAGCAAUGAAGAGCUAAUCUACCAGCCCUGGUUCCUGCAAUGAAGAGCUAAUCUACCAACCCUGUUUAGAACAAUGAAGAGCUAAUCUACCAGCCCUGUUUAGAGCAAUGAAGAGCUAAUCUACCAGCCCUGGUUAGAGCAAUGAAGAGCUAAUCUACCAGCCCUGGUUAGAGCAAUGAAGAACUAAUCUACCAGCCCUGGUUAGAGCAAUGAAGAGCUAAUCUACCAGCCCUGGUUAGAGCAAUGAAGAGCUAAUCUACCAGCCCUGGUUAGAGCAAUGAAGAGCUAAUCUACCAGCCCUGGUUAGAGCAAUGAAGAGCUAAUCUACAAGCCCUGGUUCCUGCAAUGAAGAGCUAAUCUACCAGCCCUGGUUAGAGCAAUGAAGAGCUAAUCUACCAGCCCUGGUUAGAGUAAUGAAUAGCUAAUCUACCAGCCCUGGUUAGAGCAAUGAAGAGCUAAUCUACAAGCCCUGGUUCCUGCAAUGAAGAGCUAAUCUACCAGCCCUGGUUCCUGCAAUGAAGAGCUAAUCUACCAACCCUGUUUAGAACAAUGAAGAGCUAAUCUACCAGCCCUGUUUAGAGCAAUGAAGAGCUAAUCUACCAGCCCUGGUUAGAGCAAUGAAGAGCUAAUCUACCAGCCCUGGUUAGAGCAAUGAAGAGCUAAUCUACCAGCCCUGUUUAGAGGUAAUGACGAGCUAAUCUACCAGCCCUGGUUAGAGCAAUGAAGAGCGAAUCUACCAGCCCUGGUUAGAGCAAUGAAGAGCUAAUCUACCAGCCCUGGUUAGAGCAAUGGAGAGCUAAUGUACCAGCCCUGUUUAGAGCAAUGAAGAGCUAAUCUACCAGCCCUGUUUAGAGCAAUGAAGAGCUAAUCUACCAGCCCUGUUUAGAGCAAUGAAGAGCUAAUCUACCAGCCCUGUUUAGAGCAAUGAAGAGCUAAUCUACCAGCCCUGUUUAGAGCAAUGAAGAGCUAAUCUACCAGCCCUGUUUAGAGCAAAGAGCUAAUCUACCAGCCCUGUUUAGAGCAAUGAAGAGCUAAUCUACCAGCCCUGUUUAGAGCAAUGAAAAGCUAAUCUACCAGCCCUGUUUAGAGCAAUGAAGAGCUAAUCUACCAGCCCGGUUUAGAGCAAUGAAGAGCUAAUCUACCAGCCCUGUUUAGAGCAAUGAAGAGCUAAUCUACCAGCCCUGUUUAGAGCAAUGAAGAGCUAAUCUACCAGCCCUGGUUAGAGCAAUGGAGAGUGAAUCUACCAGCCCUGGUUAGAGCAAUGAAGAGCUAAUCUACCAGCCCUGUUUAGAGCAAUG